CGGGACGGGUGAGUAACGCGUGGGUAACCGGCCUCACACAGGGGGAUAACAGUUAGAAAUGACUGCUAAUACCGCAUAACCCGAUAGGAUCGCAUGAUCCAGACGGAAAAGAUUUAUCGGUGUGAGAUGGACCCGCGUCUGAUUAGCUAGUUGGUGAGGUAACGGCCCACCAAGGCAACGAUCAGUAGCCGGCCUGAGAGGGUGAACGGCCACAUUGGGACUGAGACACGGCCCAA
Molecule: ribosomal RNA, 236 nt
Filed under: uncultured bacterium
Lineage: Bacteria
Description: partial 16S ribosomal RNA
Rfam family: Bacterial small subunit ribosomal RNA
Source: RNAcentral